This 695-nucleotide ribosomal RNA is filed under the name uncultured bacterium. Its description in RNAcentral is "bacterial SSU rRNA". It matches the Rfam family "Bacterial small subunit ribosomal RNA", at positions 505 to 1200 of the family's 1533-position model. The record is from RNAcentral.
GUGCCAGCCGCCGCGGUAAUACGUAGGUGGCAAGCGUUGUCCGGAUUUAUUGGGCGUAAAGCGAGCGCAGGCGGUUUCUUAAGUCUGAUGUGAAAGCCCCCGGCUCAACCGGGGAGGGUCGUUGGAAACUGGGAGACUUGAGUGCAGAAGAGGAGAGUGGAAUUCCAUGUGUAGCGGUGAAAUGCGUAGAUAUAUGGAGGAACACCAGUGGCGAAGGCGGCUCUCUGGUCUGUAACUGACGCUGAGGCUCGAAAGCGUGGGGAGCGAACAGGAUUAGAUACCCUGGUAGUCCACGCCGUAAACGAUGAGUGCUAAGUGUUGGAGGGUUUCCGCCCUUCAGUGCUGCAGCAAACGCAUUAAGCACUCCGCCUGGGGAGUACGACCGCAAGGUUGAAACUCAAAGGAAUUGACGGGGGCCCGCACAAGCGGUGGAGCAUGUGGUUUAAUUCGAAGCAACGCGAAGAGCCUUACCAGGUCUUGACAUCCUUUGACCACUCUAGAGAUAGAGCUUCCCCUUCGGGGGCAAAGUGACAGGUGGUGCAUGGUUGUCGUCAGCUCGUGUCGUGAGAUGUUGGGUUAAGUCCCGCAACGAGCGCAACCCUUAUUGUUAGUUGCCAUCAUUUAGUUGGGCACUCUAGCGAGACUGCCGGUGACAAACCGGAGGAAGGUGGGGAUGACGUCAAAUCAUCAUGCCC